Molecule: long non-coding RNA, 832 nt
Organism: Papaver somniferum (opium poppy)
Lineage: Eukaryota; Viridiplantae; Streptophyta; Magnoliopsida; Ranunculales; Papaveraceae
Exons: 2
Source: RefSeq, a predicted model, not a curated record
CUAAACUUAGUCUUACGUAAAUAUAGUUCUUUCCUAGAAUAUCUCUAUUUGUUGUAACCUAUUUUGUUGUAAACUUCACUAUAUAUAUCAAUGAGAAUAAACAAAAUAUUCACUGUUGAAAAACCAUAAACACUGUCUCCAAACUUUGAUUUCUUCACAUUUUGAAUUUAUUUUCAGGUUGUAUUCGAUAUAUGUGGCACGUCUCAGAGCCAAUGGUUUAGACAAAUGGACGAUGAUCUAAUAAGUUCAAGUGUUCUUCUUCGUCUCUGGAGCUCCUGUCAUGCCAAAGAACAAAACACCAUGGGCUUCAACUUGCAUGGUAUGAAUGAUUCAAUACGUCCACAUUGCACGGCAAGAGUUGAACGAACAUUCACACAGACUGGCGACUACUUAUGGGUCAGUUUCGAAGACAUGCAUGAAACCCCUGGAUAGUUAAUUGAAGUGAAGCAAAUCGGAGUUCAGUGAUCUAUCUAGUGAUUCAGUGAGUAUGGGAAGUUCUUCCCAACUGGUGUUUCUUUAUAUAUGAAAAACAAAUCUGAAAUAAAAUCAAAGAACUACAAGUACGAAAUGGUAGACACUCUUUUAAUUGUCAAAUAAAUGAGUUUAUAGAUACAAAAAGGAUGAAUUUGAUAGUUUAUGUUGCUCCUUAGAGCAAAUCUUAUGGUGAAAGAAUUCUAUCUUCCAUACCAUAUCAGCAUUUGGAAUCAUUCAUGGAAGCUCAAGUCUUAUGAUGGAAUCAUAGAAACCGUAAAAAGAAUAGUGUUUCACUUAGUCAAUGGUAUUUGACUAGAAUAUACAUACAUGGUUAAAUUAAAAGUGGCUUUUCUGUUUU